UUGCACUGGGUGGAUGAGUGGCGAACGGGUGAGUAAUACGUGAGUAACCUGCCCUUGACUCUGGGAUAAGCCUGGGAAACUGGGUCUAAUACUGGAUAUGACCUCCUGUCGCAUGGUGGGGGGUGGAAAGGGUUUGUACUGGUUGUGGAUGGGCUCACGGCCUAUCAGCUUGUUGGUGGGGUAAUGGCCUACCAAGGCGACGACGGGUAGCCGGCCUGAGAGGGUGACCGGCCACACUGGGACUGAGACACGGCCCAGACUCCUACGGGAGGCAGCAGUGGGGAAUAUUGCACAAUGGGCGCAAGCCUGAUGCAGCGACGCCGCGUGAGGGAUGACGGCCUUCGGGUUGUAAACCUCUUUCAGCACGGAAGAAGCGAAAGUGACGGUACGUGCAGAAGAAGCGCCGGCUAACUACGUGCCAGCAGCCGCGGUAAUACGUAGGGCGCAAGCGUUGUCCGGAAUUAUUGGGCGUAAAGAGCUCGUAGGCGGUUUGUCGCGUCUGCUGUGAAAGCCCGGGGCUUAACCCCGGGUGUGCAGUGGGUACGGGCAGACUUGAGUGCAGUAGGGGAGACUGGAACUCCUGGUGUAGCGGUGAAAUGCGCAGAUAUCAGGAAGAACACCGAUGGCGAAGGCAGGUCUCUGGGCUGUUACUGACGCUGAGGAGCGAAAGCAUGGGGAGCGAACAGGAUUAGAUACCCUGGUAGUCCAUGCCGUAAACGUUGGGCACUAGGUGUGGGG
Molecule: ribosomal RNA, 738 nt
Filed under: Kocuria sp.
Lineage: Bacteria; Bacillati; Actinomycetota; Actinomycetes; Micrococcales; Micrococcaceae
Description: bacterial SSU rRNA
Rfam family: Bacterial small subunit ribosomal RNA
Source: RNAcentral